RNAcentral lists this ribosomal RNA (1424 nucleotides) under Variovorax paradoxus. RNAcentral's name for it is "bacterial SSU rRNA". It matches the Rfam family "Bacterial small subunit ribosomal RNA". Lineage: Bacteria; Pseudomonadati; Pseudomonadota; Betaproteobacteria; Burkholderiales; Comamonadaceae. The record is from RNAcentral.
CAUGCAAGUCGAACGGCAGCGCGGGAGCAAUCCUGGCGGCGAGUGGCGAACGGGUGAGUAAUACAUCGGAACGUGCCCAAUCGUGGGGGAUAACGCAGCGAAAGCUGUGCUAAUACCGCAUACGAUCUACGGAUGAAAGCAGGGGACCGCAAGGCCUUGCGCGAAUGGAGCGGCCGAUGGCAGAUUAGGUAGUUGGUGGGGUAAAGGCUCACCAAGCCAACGAUCUGUAGCUGGUCUGAGAGGACGACCAGCCACACUGGGACUGAGACACGGCCCAGACUCCUACGGGAGGCAGCAGUGGGGAAUUUUGGACAAUGGGCCCAAGCCUGAUCCAGCCAUGCCGCGUGCAGGAUGAAGGCCUUCGGGUUGUAAACUGCUUUUGUACGGAACGAAAAGUCUCUUUCUAAUAAAGAGGGAUCAUGACGGUACCGUAAGAAUAAGCACCGGCUAACUACGUGCCAGCAGCCCCGGUAAUACGUAGGGUGCAAGCGUUAAUCGGAAUUACUGGGCGUAAAGCGUGCGCAGGCGGUGAUGUAAGACAGUUGUGAAAUCCCCGGGCUCAACCUGGGAACUGCAUCUGUGACUGCAUUGCUGGAGUGCGGCAGAGGGGGAUGGAAUUCCGCGUGUAGCAGUGAAAUGCGUAGAUAUGCGGAGGAACACCGAUGGCGAAGGCAAUCCCCUGGGCCUGCACUGACGCUCAUGCACGAAAGCGUGGGGAGCAAACAGGAUUAGAUACCCUGGUAGUCCACGCCCUAAACGAUGUCAACUGGUUGUUGGGAAUUAACUUUCUCAGUAACGAAGCUAACGCGUGAAGUUGACCGCCUGGGGAAUACGGCCGCAAGGUUGAAACUCAAAGGAAUUGACGGGGACCCGCACAAGCGGUGGAUGAUGUGGUUUAAUUCGAUGCAACGCGAAAAACCUUACCCACCUUUGACAUGUACGGAAUUUGCCAAAGAUGGCUUAGUGCUCAAAAGAGAACCGUAACACAGGUGCUGCAUGGCUGUCGUCAACUCGUGGCCUGAGAUGUUGGGUUAAGUCCCGCAACGAGCGCAACCCUUGUCAUUAGUUGCUACAUUCAGUUGGGCACUCUAAUGAGACUGCCGGUGACAAACCGGAGGAAGGUGGGGAUGACGUCAAGUCCUCAUGGCCCUUAUAGGUGGGGCUACACACGUCAUACAAUGGCUGGUACAAAGGGUUGCCAACCCGCGAGGGGGAGCUAAUCCCAUAAAACCAGUCGUAGUCCGGAUCGCAGUCUGCAACUCGACUGCGUGAAGUCGGAAUCGCUAGUAAUCGUGGAUCAGAAUGUCACGGUGAAUACGUUCCCGGGUCUUGUACACACCGCCCGUCACACCAUGGGAGCGGGUUCUGCCAGAAGUAGUUAGCCUAACCCGCAAGGAGGGCGAUUACCACGGCAGGUUGGGGGA